Molecule: long non-coding RNA, 3168 nt
Filed under: Daucus carota (carrot)
Lineage: Eukaryota; Viridiplantae; Streptophyta; Magnoliopsida; Apiales; Apiaceae
Description: long non-coding RNA (DCAR_LNC005587)
Source: RNAcentral
AACUUUACAUGAAAUUUCACAUCGUUUAUUUCCUCGAAAUAAAGGACACCAUUUUCAAAGUUAUAGUCUUUUCAAGAUUAGCUUUUUCGUUUUCUCUUUUUUUUCCCUGAUGACAUUCUAUAUACUCCUUUUAGUGCAAGCUGGACCAUCUCUUCAAGGAUGAUACAUUUUCUGGUCAUCUCAAGAGCUUCUUUAGUACUGUGUGGGAUGCUUUUAUGUACAUGCUUGGACAGUCUUAUGUAUCUUUAGCUGGUACCUUGUUAUUGUUAGCAGCUGCUAUCGCAUUUGUACCUUCUAAAGUUUCUCGAAAAAGAAGGGCAAUAGUUGGAUUUCUUCAUGUUUCUGCACACUUGGCUGCAGCAAUAAUUCUCAUGAUGCUUUUAGAAGUUGGUGUUGAAACAUGUAUCAGGCAUAAACUAUUGGGAACAUCAGGUGCGCUUUAGUUUUAACUGAUUUCUUUUGAGUCAGAAAUCUUGUUUUCAUUAUCUACAACAUUAUUAUUUGAGCUUGUAUAUCUGCUGAAAUCAUGCUUCUUUACUGCAGCCAGGUUCUUGCUCUUCCAUGUCUUUUGUUGAAAUAUGGAUGUUAGCAUUGUGCAUUAAUAUUAUACAUAGUGAAGUCUUCUUCAUUCGUUUUUUUGUGCACAUGAAAUUAUAUUAUUAUUAAAGAUGAUAAUUUGAAUAAGGGAGGCCAUGACUAUGCCGCUAGGUUCAUAUUUUCUUUUCAUUCUUUUUGUUAUCUACUAUGGUUCUUAGUUUUGCCAUUCUUGGUUUUGUAUUACUUGUUUCACAGUCAUAUUCAUAAAAAUCCCAUGUUAGGAGGCCGUGGUUAUGUUUUUUUAUAAAUCGUCCUGAAUAUCUUUGUAAAGGGAAGUUAAUUGGUAAUUGGAUCUAGUUAUCUAGUCUCUGUGUUGGCAUAUACUUGUUUGAAUUUGUUCAAAACCAUGUCUAGUUUUUAUUUUGUUCGUAGACAUGUACUAAUAGUUAUGAUCUCAUUUCAGGUUAUCACACUUUAUAUGAAUGGUAUCGCACAGUUGAGAGUGAGCAUUUUCCAGACCCAACUGGCCUCCGUGCUCGUAUAGAACAGUGGACAUUUGGGCUGUAUCCAGCAUGUAUCAAGUAUCUUAUGUCUGCCUUUGAUGUUCCAGAGGUCCAAACUUCAUUUUAUAACUAUCUAUAUAAGGAUAUAUAUCCAGAAUUCUCAUUGUGUACUUGUUAUCUCUUGAAUCUACUAAAUUUGUGAGCACAAAUAGGUCAUGGCUGUCACAAGGAAUGAUAUGUGUAACAAUGGAUCCGAUUCAUUUUCCCGCGGUGGUGCUGUGAUAUAUUAUGCUUCCGUGUUCCUGUACUUUUGGUUCUUUACCACUCCUGUGGUUUCGUUGAUUUUUGGAAGCUAUUUGUACAUCUGUAUUAAUUGGUUGCAUCUGCACUUUGAUGAAGCCUUCUCUUCACUCCGUAUAGCCAAUUACAAAGCAUUUACACGCUUCCAUAUUAAGAAUAACGGCGAUCUUGAGGUUUUUACGCUUGCAGUUGACAAGGUAAAAAAAGCUCGCAUUAUAGUGCCUAUUUGUUUUUGAAGNAUGAAGCAUAAUGGGUCCUCUUUGAUUAUACAGAUUGGUUCGACGGACUUCAAACCUAUAUGAGGUACAUUUGUCAUAAAAGCUGGUUGGGCGGGUGGUUCAUGCCUCAGAAGAAGAGCUACUUUGCUAUGCAGCUACCGCAGAGAUGGUGGAUAUUUGGUCUUGAUUUAGCUCUGCACGGUGAUAUUGAUGUUUAUCAGUUCAAGUUCUUCUCUGAAUUGGUUAUGGACAAGGUUCCUCUCCUAAUGUUUUUGUUUAACAAAUGUUAUAUACUAUUCUUGUUUUUAAACAUUUUCCUUACAUGAUGCAAUACCUUUUUUAUUUCAUAUGCAUUAUGUUUAGUUUAAUAUUAUCGAGUUCGUGAAUUAAGUAUCUCUAUCUGGGUGCAAAUUAAGCAUCAGAAAAGAAAGUGUCAUCUUUGGUGUGUUUACUUUCCCUUUACGCAAUGAGCUUUUCUUCCAGGUUGGAGAGAAUGAUUCCGUGAUAAUUGUGACACAUGAACCUGGUUGGCUUCUUGAUUGGUACUGGGAUGAUGUGAGCGGGAAAAAUGUUUCACACCUGAUAUGUGACUAUUUGAAGGGUAGGUGUAAACUCCGGAUGGCUGGAGACUUGCAUCAUUUUAUGCGACACUCAUAUGUUCCAUCUGAUAAACCAGCUCAUGUGCAACAUUUACUUGUCAAUGGUUCUGGUGGAGCUUUUUUGCAUCCUACUCAUGUAUUCAGUAGUUUCAAUAAAUUAUAUGGAACUUCGUAUAAGUUUGAAGCAGCCUAUCCUUCUUGUGAAGAUUCAAGUAGGGUAUGUUACUAAAUUUUACUGCCGGAUACUUUCUUAAUUUCUAUUUCUAAUGUAAUCAAGUGAUGUUUAAGGGGCUUAUAUAUUAUUUGUUGCAGAUUGCACUGGGAAACAUAUUGAAAUUCCGAAAGAAAAAUUGGCAGUUUGAUUUCAUUGGUGGUAUCAUAUACUUUGUCUUAGCGUUUUCUAUGUUCCCACAGGCGAGUUACUUAACUUUGUUACAACAAAUAUUUUGAUCUUGCUUCAGACAAUUAGGAUGUUCUUUAUGCUUGCAAACUUUACAUGAAAUUUCACAUCGUUUAUUUCCUCGAAAUAAAGGACACCAUUUUCAAAGUUAUAGUCUUUUCAAGAUUAGCUUUUUCGUUUUCUCUUUUUUUUCCCUGAUGACAUUCUAUAUACUCCUUUUAGUGCAAGCUGGACCAUCUCUUCAAGGAUGAUACAUUUUCUGGUCAUCUCAAGAGCUUCUUUAGUACUGUGUGGGAUGCUUUUAUGUACAUGCUUGGACAGUCUUAUGUAUCUUUAGCUGGUACCUUGUUAUUGUUAGCAGCUGCUAUCGCAUUUGUACCUUCUAAAGUUUCUCGAAAAAGAAGGGCAAUAGUUGGAUUUCUUCAUGUUUCUGCACACUUGGCUGCAGCAAUAAUUCUCAUGAUGCUUUUAGAAGUUGGUGUUGAAACAUGUAUCAGGCAUAAACUAUUGGGAACAUCAGGUGCGCUUUAGUUUUAACUGAUUUCUUUUGAGUCAGAAAUCUUGUUUUCAUUAUCUACAACAUUAUUAUUUGAGCUUGUAUAUCUGCUGAA